RNAcentral lists this ribosomal RNA (2376 nucleotides) under Triticum aestivum (bread wheat). RNAcentral's name for it is "partial small subunit ribosomal RNA". Lineage: Eukaryota; Viridiplantae; Streptophyta; Magnoliopsida; Poales; Poaceae. The record is from RNAcentral.
AUGCUGUUGGGCGCGAAGGUGGUUCCCCGCGACAAGGCUGUGCUGAAGCAAGGAGGCGGCGACGGCUCGGGAUCCGACGGCUCUCCCGGGAAGGCGCGCACCAAGCGUGGCAGCAGCAAGAGGAGAGACAGGGAGGAGAAGCGGAGGCGGAGGCACCGGCGGAGGAGCCGGCGCAGGUCGGACAGCUCGGAGGAGGGGUCGGACGACUCGGUCGACGAGGAGGAGGAGAAGGAGCUGAGCCGGAGCAAGCACCGGAGGAAGCGCCGCAGGGGGCGCCGCGACUUCUCCGACGAGGAUGAAUCCAGCGCCGAAUCUGAUAAAGGAAGAGGUAGUGGCAAGGGGAAGCAAAGAGGUGCUGCAAGUGAUGAUGAUGACGAUGAUGAUGAUGAUGAUGAGGAUGAAGAGGAAGAGAUGGGAGGCGACGGGAUGAGGGCGGGUGAGGUUGUCAGAAAGGAGAUGGGCCUUGAAUGGAUGCUUAAAUCGGCAAGCAGCAGUCAGCCGGAGGGCAGCCGUGCUCAGAGGGCUGAGAACGAGGAGGACAAGUUUGAGGCUACACAUGAAGAGGUGAAGAAACCUAACCCGAAAGAAAUGAACCCCUAUUUGAGGGACAAUGGCAGUGGCUAUCCUGAUGAAGCCACCGCUGCAAAUGCAGCCAGUCAGUUGCUUGCAUCUUCUGUUGUCGGUGACGGAGGUGCUAGCUGGCGGCUUAAGGCUUUGAAACGUGCAAAAGAGCAAGCAGCUCGUGAAGGUAGAAAGAUUGAGGAGGUAGUUGAAGAGAGAUGGGGUUCAUUGGGUCACUUAGCCGCAUCAGUCUCAACAUCCAGAGUUGCCCCUUCUUAUGCCCAUUUGCAGGCCAUUAGGGGUAGAAAAGCUGGACAAGGAGACUACUCUGAGAAAUCCUCCAAAGUAGAUCGGAAGGAGGACCAGCGAGGCGAGGAGAGUGGUGGUGGUCGCCAAUAUUUGCAAGGCGUCUCCUCCCGGGAUCAUGCAAUGAGAAAACCCAGGCCUGAUUCUGUACCUUGGAAGAAAAACAGACAGAAUAUAUCCUCUGAGGAUCAAACGCUCAUCUCGUCAGCACUAGCAAGCAUCAACAAAUUUUCUAACGAUGGAAGCUUUAUGGAUAAAAUCAGUAACCAUGGUAGUAAAAAUUCAAAUGUUUCAAAUGUCGAGAAGAGGGAUAGUGAUCAGAAAGCCCACCAGGAGAGUUCAAAGAUAUCAUCUUCAGUGAGCACACAAAAGCAGCAGGAGAGUUCAAAGAUAUCAUCUUCAGUGAGCACACAAAAGCAGGAGAGUUCAAAGAUAUCAUCUUCAGGUAGCACUCAAAAGCUAAAUGCAAACCAGUUAGCUGCGAAGGUUCUGCAGCUCCGAAUGAAAGGCAAGCACGAAGAAGCUGACCAACUUUCGAGAGAAAUGGAGACUGUGCUGGAAAACCAGAGUGCUUCUGUUGAAGAGCCUAGGCAUGUAAAGGAAAAUAGCUCAACCAGGCAUACAAUAAAGCCCAGUGCAGCUGAUCGCAGGAAAAGAGAAGAGGAUGCUGACCUCCAUCUUGCAAAUAAAAUUAUGCACAACAAACAGUACAACAUGAGUAAAAGUGUAGAGGAUGAAUAUGAAUAUGGUGAUGCUCCCACUAAGAAAGGCAAAAGGACCAGAGAGGCACACCAGGAGAAUAGGGGCACUCAGAGACAUAUUUUAACUCAGAAAGAGCGCUGUUUGUAUUGCUUUGAGAACCCAUCCAGGCCAAAGCAUCUGGUUAUUGCUAUAGGGAACUUCACUUACUUGAUGCUGCCACAGUUUGAGCCUCUUGUUCCUGGGCACUGUGUCAUUCUUCCAUUGCAGCAUGAGUCUUCAACAAGAACAGUUGAUAAAAAUGUCUGGGAGGAGAUUCGCAACUUCAAGAAGUGCCUUCUGAAGAUGUUUGCGCAGCAGGACAAGGAUGUGGUUUUCAUGGAGACUGUCAUAAGCCUGGUCAAACAGCAGAGGCAUUGCAUGAUUGAAUGCAUCCCUGUCCCAUGCGAAGUUUCAAACAAAGCACCCAUGUACUUCAAGAAGGCGAUCGACGAAGUUGAGGAGGAAUGGUCACAGCACGAGAUGAAGAAGCUCAUUCCAACGACCGGUAACCUGCGGCAGGUCAUCCCGGAGAACUUCGCCUACUUCCACGUGGAGUUUGGUCUGGACCGCGGGUUCGUCCACGUGAUAGACGACGAGAGCAAGUUCGGUGCUGGUUUCGGGCUGAAUGUACUCAGAGGGGUGCUCCGGUUGCCGGGGGAGGACAUGCACCGUCGCCGGAGGCACGAGUCCAUGGAUAACCAGAAGCAAGCCGUCGCCAGCUUCAUGAAGGACUGGGAGCCCUUCGACUGGACGAAGCAGCUCGAGUAG